Molecule: ribosomal RNA, 253 nt
Filed under: uncultured bacterium
Lineage: Bacteria
Description: partial 16S ribosomal RNA
Rfam family: Bacterial small subunit ribosomal RNA
Source: RNAcentral
UACGUAGGGUCCGAGCGUUGUCCGGAAUUAUUGGGCGUAAAGGGCUCGUAGGCGGUUUGUCGCGUCGGGAGUGAAAACACGGGGCUUAACCCCGUGCCUGCUUCCGAUACAGGCAGACUAGAGGUAUGCAGGGGAGAACGGAAUUCCUGGUGUAGCGGUGAAAUGCGCAGAUAUCAGGAGGAACACCGGUGGCGAAGGCGGUUCUCUGGGCAUUACCUGACGCUGAGGAGCGAAAGUGUGGGGAGCGAACAGG